This 236-nucleotide ribosomal RNA is filed under the name uncultured Staphylococcus sp. RNAcentral's name for it is "partial 16S ribosomal RNA". It matches the Rfam family "Bacterial small subunit ribosomal RNA", at positions 104 to 334 of the family's 1533-position model. The record is from RNAcentral. Lineage: Bacteria; Bacillati; Bacillota; Bacilli; Caryophanales; Staphylococcaceae.
GGGUGAGUAACACGUGGAUAACCUACCUGUAAGACUGGGAUAACUUCGGGAAACCGGAGCUAAUACCGGAUAAUAUUUUGAACCGCAUGGUUCAAAAGUGAAAGACGGUCUUGCUGUCACUUAUAGAUGGAUCCGCGCUGCAUUAGCUAGUUGGUAAGGUAACGGCUUACCAAGGCAACGAUGCAUAGCCGACCUGAGAGGGUGAUCGGCCACACUGGAACUGAGACACGGUCCAG